UCCAUCCCCUUCCCUUCUUUUCUCCUCAAACCCGCUCCAAAAUGUGAACUUUAUGCAAUUCCUCGGUACCCAUUUCCCUUUGCAUUAAGUAUGGCUCCCAAAACCUCUACUUUUGGGCACUACCCCGCCUUCAUCCGAUUUGAUGGAAAAUUUUGGCUUUGAUCCGAAAUAGCGUCCACGUUGCAGUUGCAGACAGUGGCGGUGGCAGAGAGAGACCCAGUGGCAUGGCGCCUGCACUCUGCGGCAUGCCUAUUCCCACUUCCUUCCUGUGCUCUCCACCGAAUUGUCCUUUCGAAGAUGCAGACCAGGACGAAAAUAAAGGUGUGGCCUGUGUUUCUCUGAGGUAAGAAGAAAACCCCAUUGCUUCUUGAGUUUUGGAUCUCUGCAAUAGCCAUUUUAAUUUCCUUCAACAGCGAAAAAGAAUCCAGCGCCCACGGCUUUAGUUUGUUAACAACCUCAGUUUUGGCCUAUAAUACGGUAUUCUUUUGUCAUUCAAUGUUCUUCUCUUGAUUAUUUUUUUGGUUUUGUUGUUCGUUUUAAUUUUUUUUUGCAUGUUUACUCAACAACCAUUGCUUAUGUUGUGAUUUGAUCAUGCUAAAUUUGGCUUGCUGUGUAGCUAGUGAUAAAAAAGAUAAUCAUUUUCCUUUUAGAAAACGUUAACUGUCAUGUGGUUACAUUGUUGGUGAAAUAGGUUAUAAGUUAUGUGUUUGCUGAAAUGUCUAAAUGAAGUUUUAGAAACUAGGCAAAUUGUUCACCUUUGUUGGUACAGAUCACUAUAAAUGAUGAAAAAAUUAUGAAGUUGUAAUCACAAUGACUGGCAAACACGUCUUGGGUGAGGGUAUAGUGUACAAAGUAAAUAAAAGCGAAACUUGAUUAGAUUGUGAAUAAAUAUGCCUCCCAUGGCCUAAACAUAAAGGUCCAUCUAAGAAAAUGGGCAAAUAUUAAAAUAUCUUCUGUUUUUUGGCUUGAUCCAUCUUGUUGUUUAAAGUGUUAAAAUAUGUUUUGCCUAAAUGAAGUUUUAGAAACUGGACAAAUUGUUCACCUUUGUUAGUACAGAUCACUAUAAAUUAUGAAAAAAUUGUGACGUUGUAACAACUAUUGAGAUUCAAUAUCAGCUAUGAUUGAGUAUGCAAUGAUGGGUGGCCCUUGGCUUAGUUCCAUUGGCUGUUGUUUUAUGUUUUUGCCCUUCAAAUCGUGUAAUGCUAUUCUGUCUGUCUUUUUGAUAAAAGAAAAAUUGUUGCUUCUCAUUUUUACAUGCUACAGUGUCAAAGAGAGAAAUAGAGAGAAAGAGAUAGACACAAAGACACAAGUUUUGCAGGAAUAAACAAGUAAAUUCAAGAAGUCACCACUGUUCCAAUCAGCCCCUUUCAUUUUGCAGUUCCUAUUUAUUUUUUCGUGUUUCCAUUCACCAUUCCACAGAAGGGAAAAACAUUGCUUUGUUCCAUCUUUUUCUGUGGUGUGUCUCAAGAUUGGUGUGUGUCCUCAAGAUUAAAGUUCACUCAACCAUAGCAGCAACAACCCUUUUACUUAACUCUUGAAAGUUUGUUUAAAAUUUGGAUUUUCAGUGAUCAUGAUCUAAUGAAGGAGUCUCAGGGGGCAAGGAAGAAUAAGAGCACACAAAGCAAGUGUUGUAAAUCACACUUUGUAUGCAGAGUCAACAGAGAAUGAUGAUUCAGACUCAAUUUUAAAACACAAUCUAUACCAUACGUUUUGCAAAGGAUCAUUAUUGUUGAUUUUUUGUACUUUAGCACCCAAAAAUAGUUUAUCCCUUGACUUAGUUCCACUACCUACUGUUAGUUGUUAUCGUAUUAUCAUCCGGACUCAAUAUUUAAACACACAAAUACCAGCCGUUUGGAAAAUGACCAUUAUUCUAGAUCUUUUGUACUUGAGGUUACAUAUAUUUUUCUACAUUUUUUCCACAAAAUGAUGGCUCGUAUUCUAGACAAGAUACAAGACAUAAAUGGAUCCAAAGAAACCCUGAAACUUGCUGUCAGGAUAACUGAUCUUUGGUUUGUGGGAACACCGAACAAGCCUGAGCAAGCUGAGAUGGUUAUAGUGGAUUCCAACGUAUCAUUACUAUUUUUUUUUUGGGGUGGGUUUUGUCUUUUGUUAAUUAUUUUCCUGACUAACCAUUUGUUACAUUCUUUGCCAUAACCAGGGAGACCAAAUUCAUGCGGUUUGUAAGCGAGACCAACUCAAGUCUUAGAAGCCGAUUUUGAAAGAAAAAUGCACUUAUAUGAUGCACAAUUUUAAAGUGGUCAAGAAUGAUGGUCAAUAAAGAGUUUGUGUGCACCCGUAUAAAUUAGUAUUUACUGGAGUUACUAUUUUUAGACAAACUAAUUUGGUUAAUGUGCCUUUAAGAAUACACAAUUUUAUUCAAUUUACCAAUAUCAUUGCUGGUGACUUUUAGUAUGGCCUGCUAGUAGGUCCAACUAUCAUUUUACCUUCCAUUUUAAAAAACUUUAUUCCAACCAUUGCAACCAUCUUUUUAUAACAUGUUUUCAUAUUUUAUCCUUCAUUAGACAUUAUUGGUGUCAUUGAUGAGGUCGUCUUCCAACAAGUUUCAUCAAAGAGUACAAGGAUUGUUUUUAAGCUGAAGGACUUGAGGUUGUCUUAUUCAUUUUGUUCCUUCAUUUUAAAUUGUGGUUGUAUGUAUGUUUACAAACUGCAUAGUAUAUGGUUGACUGAUAUAUUUCUAUCAUCUUUCUAAUCUUAUGACCGUCUUGGAUUAUAUAAUAAUGUUAUGAGUUUCAUUUGUUUAUGAUAGUGGCCAAUUGUUAUCCUGCACUCUGGGAAGAUUAUUGCUUGCAGUUCUUGGAGUACUUAAAUGAGUGUGAAAGUCAGGGACCAAUAAUUAUUUUGUUGACCCAUGCUAGGAUUAAAGAAGCCCAGUGUAUUGUGUCAUGUGCAAUUAGUCCAUUAUUCUACUGCUUAGAUCUCAUCUUAUGUUCCUCUUUUGCCAUUUGUAGGAUCCUACCCACCAAGCAUAAGUAACUCUUUAAAAGCUUCAUAAUUGCAUAGAAAUCAACCAAUGCCAGAAAUUGAAGAAUUCAAACAAAGGUAUUGUGGUUUAAUGUUUCCUUACUUUGAUUAUCUUUGUCAUGGUCUUUCAUAUGAAUUCUUGAUGUCAAGCUUCAAAAUUGCAUAAAAAUCAAACGAUGCCUUAAAUUCAAGAAUUCAAACAAAGGUAUUGUGGUUUAACGAUGCCUUGCUUUGAUUAUCUUUGUCAUGGUCUUCAUAUUAAUUCUUGAUGUCAAGCUUCAAAAUUGCAUAUAAAUCAAUCAAUGCCUCAAAUUCAAGAAUUCAAACAAAGGUAUUGUGGUUUAAGGUUGCCUUGGUUUGAUUAUCUCUGUCAUAUGAAUUCUUUAUGUCUAGGCUUAACGAAUUAGGCAUUAAAGUCCACUCAGUUAUAACACCUCACAGUCAAACAACUUCACAAGUUUCAGGUUCUAGCCAAUUGUCAUCAAAGGAUGCAUUUUUUUUAUAAGGCUGAGGCAAAGAGCCUUUUUGAGAUUAACAUGUUAGAGGAAAUUGUUUGUGUAACAGUGGGUACCAUUACCAAAAUAGUAAUGGAAAAUCAUUCAUGGUGUUAUGUAGCUUGCAUCCAUUGUUACAAGAAAACUGAUGUAGACACCAUUCCUUUCACAUAUGCAUGCGGUAAAUAUAAUCAACAGGUUGUGCUAAGGUCAUUAACAGUCUGUUUUUACUUUAUAUUUCUUUAAUUUGCAUGUCAAUUUUACAUUGUUAUUUAUGUUGCCAAGUAUAGACUUGAGGUCAUGGUUACCCACAAGGAGGAAUGCACGAAAUUUCUGCUCUAGGACCGUGAAUGCACUGAGUUAAUUGGCCAAUCAGCUAACGAAGUUAAUAGGUUAAAGAUAGCAGAAAGUUCCUACAUAAUCAAACUUCCAAUUUAAAUGUUAUUUUAUCUGGAUUUUUUGCCAUGUGGUCAAUGAAUUCAACAAUUAACCUAUCUUACAUGUUGUAUGCAAGGAUGGUGAUGUUGAUUUGAAUGCUUCACCAGAAGCACUUGAUAAGCUCCUGGGAUAUUCACUUGCGUUUAAAGUGAAGAAAUCCCUAUCUGCAACAGCAGAUCAUGAUCCGCUUCUCAGAGCCCCCUUUACACCAACGAAGUGACAGACACUUUAGGGAUGUGACGAUGAAGCACUAAGUUCUCAGAUUUCACCUACUCAGCUUUCAUCUAACAAAUUAAGAAAACAUGCUAAAAUUGAAUGAAGGUGGCUACUUUCAAGAUGUCCAUACACUUUCUAAGGAGCCUCUUUUUGUGUAGUAUGCCCGUCUAUCGUUCAUGAAACCUUAUCAUAUACUGCCUUUACUAAUUACUAUGUGACUGUUAUGCAAUUUAAAUUGUAUUUUGGAUACCCUAUCAAGUUAAUUAU
Long non-coding RNA from Glycine soja, 4397 nucleotides. RefSeq lists it as uncharacterized. The record is from RefSeq and is a predicted model, not a curated record. The transcript has 4 exons. Lineage: Eukaryota; Viridiplantae; Streptophyta; Magnoliopsida; Fabales; Fabaceae.